GUGAAAUGCUGAAGAUAUAUCUUUUCCUUUACUAGGGAGAGAAAAUGGACUUUCCGUCCCUAGGGAAAAGUCUUUCCCUCCUUCGUAAAGGAAAACGUCAUAAUACACUAGGGAAAUAAGUUGAUAUUUCGUAUCACGAUGAGUAAAAGUACCUCGGGCUAAAUCCAUCGGCCACUUUUACUCAUA
Molecule: long non-coding RNA, 186 nt
Organism: Bradysia coprophila
Lineage: Eukaryota; Metazoa; Arthropoda; Insecta; Diptera; Sciaridae
Source: RefSeq, a predicted model, not a curated record